Long non-coding RNA from Saccostrea cuccullata (small rock oyster), 383 nucleotides. RefSeq lists it as uncharacterized. NCBI's taxonomy places the organism in Eukaryota, Metazoa, Mollusca, Bivalvia, Ostreida, Ostreidae. The transcript is spliced from 3 exons. The record is from RefSeq and is a predicted model, not a curated record.
CAGAUUACCAACAGAUUUGUCAAUCAACAAACGCAACCAAAUACCAAAUCACGGCGCUGACGAUGGUCCUGUCAAUAAAGCCUCUCAAACAGACCCUGAUCCACAAAUAGACUUUUUGUCCUGCUUUUUUGCAUAUGUUCAGGAAAGGACGGGAACUUCUGUAGGCGAUUUAAAUCCAAAGAUAAAAGAUGAAUUGUUCUGCGACUUCAUUCGACAGCAAGAUCUUUCAGAGUCAUAUACAGGUUUUGGAUGUUAUUUUUUUCUAAAUGUGUCAGAUUCUCUUUUCAGUUGACUAUUAACACCUUGAUAAACGAAAAUUGUCUUUAUGUCAGUGUUAACACUAAAUGCAAAUGAAUAUUAUGAUUAGCAAGGAAUUAGGAUAA